RNAcentral lists this long non-coding RNA (883 nucleotides) under Astyanax mexicanus (Mexican tetra). RNAcentral's name for it is "lncRNA (ENSAMXG00005018611.1)". The record is from RNAcentral. Lineage: Eukaryota; Metazoa; Chordata; Actinopteri; Characiformes; Acestrorhamphidae.
AAACUAGACAUCUAAUCUGAAGAAACAUUUGGAGUCGCAGCACAGCACAUUCAAACUUACCAAGCAAGUCCCACUAGGUGGUGCAAAGCAGAGAGCCGCAUCUAAUGCAGGAGGUACUCCUCCACUCAGACAGAAGCUGGACUUCAGUGUAAAACCAAUUCUUAAGUUCCACACAGGCAGUACUGAACUGUGCUUUAAAGACAGAGUCCUGCAUGCAGACUGUGUAAAACUGUGUAACAUGUAGCAACAUUCAGACGGCGCCUUUAAAACAAGUCAUCAAGGAGAGGACCAGAUUCGAUACUGGAUGCUGCCAGGACAGAUUUCCUUGCUGUCGUCAGGAAACUGCGUGGGGAGAGUGCUUUCCAGGCCAUCAGAUGACCCUGGCAGAGUUGCUGCUGGUCCUCUAUUACUUAGAUGCCAUUGCAAUCCAGAAGCGUGCAGAGCAGCCUGGAGUUGUGGAGCACAUGACUGUCACGGAAUGGAUCAGCCGCAGGAGAGAUCAUGGUCACGGUGUGGGUCGAUCUUUACUAUUCCGAGGUGCGCCCAGUCCUGCUUGGAAAGAAGAGAAAAGCACUUUGAGGAUGACUAUGAUGAGGAGUUGGAGGAGAGGUUCUUCAUCUCCUCCACUGGCAAAACCAUCCAUUACACCUUCGAAGACCUGGAGCAGCUGCACAAAAAGCUAAAUUAAAGUGACGAGCCAAACGGCCAGACGGGCAUACGAGACAGCCAAAAAGAACCGGUCUGAUGCCGAAAAGGUCACUGCAGAGAAGCACUACUGAAUGAAGGAGAUUAGCUCAACGGUGGAUGCUUGCCUGAUACUGAAGAGCCUCUGCAGUGAUUCAGAGUAAGUUUUUGUUCAUGUUUUCACUAGGAUUGUCUAGCA